UUUACUAUAUCGUACCCUUAUAUGGUUUUCAUGGAUUUCUGUUUGUAUCAAUUGCAUGACUUUGAGAGUAAUUGUCGGAGUUUAAAUUAUUAAGCACAAUCAUGGGGUAAAGCGAGAGCAGACUUCCCGUAUAUGCACAGCAACGGCUACAACCGAGAAUUCUGCUACGUCCCAUAUAUUCACGCCAACGGAUAGCAUAAAUCUCUAAUUACUCUUGUAAUUAUUUCCUUGUACAUACAAACACUCUUAACAGUAAUAUGCUUUCUAAUCCGUGUAUACCUCUUGUAGCAUGAAUAUAUACAUAUAUAGAUAUAUAUGAAUAAAAAGACUCUCAAACACUCUCACUGUGUAUGAAUUAUUUUCACAAACACAAGGUUUUCAAUUUCUUCAUAGAUUUGCUUCUUGCUGGCUAUGACCCCAAGAAGAAGCCUGCAGAAGAGACGCUCUCAUUCUCUCUCGCACGUGAUAACUUUAGGAAGGUCUAUACGGAAGCUCAUUCUGGUUCAAAGGAUUUAAAACGGUUGCAAUUGAUGGUGUUGAGAAGUGGAAAUCCUUGACUGACGAGGUGAGUUUUCAAUUAUUUUGGUUCCUUCAAAGUUGAAUGCCAAAUUCUAUGAAAACAAGGUUUACCAGAAUAAAGCUUCCGAGCUUAAGGCGGAGUAUGACCGGGCCUCUAGGAGAGUUACGAUGCUGAAGAUGAAGAUGUAGGUCAUCAGUUUUAGAUAUCGCAAAGUUAGUACUUUUGAUUCUGAGCUCAUUUUACUUGAACUAUGAUAUUUUUUUUUUCCUAGUGUGUAGUUUCUAAUUUUGGUCAUUUAGGCUAUUUAUAUUGGUUUCGUUUUGAACAAGCGGCUUCCUUUUCUUACCUUCGGAGGCUGAUGAGGUUCAGGGAAGGAGCAUCUGAAGUAGAGCAGGACAGAUUGCAUGUUGAUUUUUCAUGUCUGAUGAUUAGUUCUUGUGUCUUGUAAAUUUAGAUUUGGUUUAGUCUAGUAGUUUCGAGGGUAGAUAUUAAGGGUUUUCUUAAGGGUUAUAUUUUUGGUUGGUUUGGGGUAUCAUAUGUAUUUCAUCUUAGAAUGUAAUACUUGUUGGUUAACUUGCCAAGCAUGUGGCUUAACUCAUUUCCUUGAUAUAUCGUAUUAUGGUUGUCCUGGGUGGCUGUUUCUUCUU
Carya illinoinensis is the source of this 1167-nucleotide long non-coding RNA. RefSeq lists it as uncharacterized. The record is from RefSeq and is a predicted model, not a curated record. The transcript has 3 exons. Lineage: Eukaryota; Viridiplantae; Streptophyta; Magnoliopsida; Fagales; Juglandaceae.